Molecule: long non-coding RNA, 2150 nt
Filed under: Brassica napus (rape)
Lineage: Eukaryota; Viridiplantae; Streptophyta; Magnoliopsida; Brassicales; Brassicaceae
Description: long non-coding RNA (BNAP_LNC012500)
Source: RNAcentral
UAAUCUCAUUUUGUAAAAUAUCGAUGCAAAGAAAUGCGUCGAUAUAUAUAUAUAUAUUUAUGUAUGUAUAGCAUAUGAGAUUAAUUAAAAAUAUAUAUCUGGGCUAGAUUAAAUAAAGGGCAAAUCUCCAAAAUAGCACAUUUCCAAGUUUAUAUCACAAAAAUAGCACUCAAAAACUAAAAUGACCAAAAUAGCACAUUUCUAAGUUUAUCCUUUGAAAGUUUUAAUUUUUUUAUUUUUCAAAAUUUGAAAUCUUAUCCCCAAAACCUCAUUUCUCAACUCUAAACCCUAAACCCUAAACUCUAAACCCUAAACCCUAAACUCUAAACCCUAAACCCUAAACCAUAAACCCUAAACCCUAAAUUCUAAAUCCUAAACCCUAAACUCUAAACCCUAAACCCUAAACCCUAAAAUCUAAACCCUAAACCCUAGACUCUAAACCCUAAACCCUAAACCCUAAAUCCUAAACCCCACCCUUUAACUCUAAACCCUAAGUUUGUGACUUUUGAUAAAACAUUAAGUGCUAUUUUUGUGACUUUUGACUGUUAUCAUCUUCAUCGACUCGCUGUUCUUCGCCUUCUUUGCGCUCUAUCACUUCUUCUCGGUGGUUUUUGCGCUUCUUCUUUCACUUUCUUGGUGAUUCUCGUUCGUUGAUCGUUGCUUGGUGAUCUCGGAAUCUUGAUCCUCUGAUUCAUCUUUUGUUCACCAUGCCGAUCUCUUAUGCGAAUGCUGUUAACAAUACUCCGACGUCGGCGUCGAAUCCUCACACGACGGUGCCUCGUUCGGAGCCUACGGCGUCUAUUCAAGAUCCGAACUCCAAUCCUCUCUACGUUCAUCAUGCUGAUCAUGCUGGUAUUGCUCUUGUUUCUGAGAAGCUAGCUGGUUUAGGCAAUUUCAAUACUUGGCGUCGAUCUAUGCUUAUGGCGUUAGGAGCUCGGAACAAAGCUGUUUUUGUUGAUGGAACCUUUCCGGAAUUGCGUGAUGAUCAUCCGGACUUUGCAUCUUGGUCAAGAUGCAACAACAUUGAAAAUUAUGAUGUAUGCGUUGAUUUACAUAUCGCAAUGUUGCUCGUAUUCAAAUUUAAGCUGUCUCGUAAAAUUCAGAUCAAAUUAAAAAUAAUCUGAUAUCGCAAUGUUGCAUGCAUACGUUUAUAUUUGUGUAUAAAUGAAGAUAUAUGUGAUCAAGUGGCUGCGCGUGCGGAGGUGAACCAGUUAAACUUUAAACAAGUUGAUCAUAAGUUAUCAACUUUAGAAGUCUUAACAAACAAACAAAAACCUUUAGAAGUCCAAAAGUAAAAAGGAUCUCGACACAGAAUUAUUAAUCGUCAAAGGAAAUUUUGUUGGAAAAGAAAAAGAAAAAAUGUUUUCUGGUUAAAAAAGGAAAAUUUCUGGUUAAAAGGGGAAAAUGGCAGGUUGUACUAUUAACCUACAAAUAUUCCUGGAAUUUUGUUUCACACUUUGUCUUGAUAAUUCGUUCUGUACCUUCUUGUUAUUUGAAGCAAACCUAUGUUCUCUACUUUAAUUUUUUUUUAAAAAAUUAAAAAUAUUCAUUAUCUUCAACCCGAAAAGGGGAUAAACGGAACUUACAACUCCGGUGUGCCAGUGAAACAUGAUAAGCUAGGUUACAACAAAACAGUUAGAGGAUGUACAAGCAAACAGACUAGCAGACAAAGGAGAGAGGUCGUGGGAAGUAGGCGGGAAAGCGCGCGAGCUUCCCCUUUGGUGGACCAAAACACAUAAAUAAAGGUUUUGCUCACUGCCCAGUGGUUUAAAGUGUUUAAUUUUUUUUUUUGAACACGAAUUUAAUUGAUUAGGUGGUUAAUUGGGGGCAGUAAAAGCAUCCCCAACAAACAAUGUUUCGGAUACAAGCAGGGCAUCCUUUGCCAACCUAUCAGCUAUUACAUUUCUUUCUCGGGGAAUCCAAGAAAAAUUGACAAACUCAAAUGCAGAAGCAUAAAACAAGAUAUCUGAGACCACCCCAUAGAGCUCGGUAGGGCAGUGGCCGUCGGUGAUAGAUUUAACAAGUUGAGAGGCAUCAGAUUCCCUAAACCCUAAACUCUAAACCCUAAACCCUAAACCCUAAAAUCUAAACCCUAAACCCUAGACUCUAAACCCUAAACCCUAAACCCUAAAUCCUAAACCCCACCCUUU